UAGUUUGAUCCUGGCUCAGAUUGAACGCUGGCGGCAUGCCUUACACAUGCAAGUCGAACGGUAACAGGUCUUCGGAUGCUGACGAGUGGCGAACGGGUGAGUAAUACAUCGGAACGUGCCCGAUCGUGGGGGAUAACGAAGCGAAAGCUUUGCUAAUACCGCAUACGAUCUACGGAUGAAAGCAGGGGACCGCAAGGCCUUGCGCGAACGGAGCGGCCGAUGGCAGAUUAGGUAGUUGGUGGGAUAAAAGCUUACCAAGCCGACGAUCUGUAGCUGGUCUGAGAGGACGACCAGCCACACUGGGACUGAGACACGGCCCAGACUCCUACGGGAGGCAGCAGUGGGGAAUUUUGGACAAUGGGCGAAAGCCUGAUCCAGCCAUGCCGCGUGCAGGAUGAAGGCCUUCGGGUUGUAAACUGCUUUUGUACGGAACGAAAAGACUCUGGUUAAUACCUGGGGUCCAUGACGGUACCGUAAGAAUAAGCACCGGCUAACUACGUGCCAGCAGCCGCGGUAAUACGUAGGGUGCAAGCGUUAAUCGGAAUUACUGGGCGUAAAGCGUGCGCAGGCGGUUAUAUAAGACAGAUGUGAAAUCCCCGGGCUCAACCUGGGAACUGCAUUUGUGACUGUAUAGCUAGAGUACGGCAGAGGGGGAUGGAAUUCCGCGUGUAGCAGUGAAAUGCGUAGAUAUGCGGAGGAACACCGAUGGCGAAGGCA
This 717-nucleotide ribosomal RNA is filed under the name Acidovorax temperans. Its description in RNAcentral is "bacterial SSU rRNA". It matches the Rfam family "Bacterial small subunit ribosomal RNA", at positions 9 to 723 of the family's 1533-position model. Lineage: Bacteria; Pseudomonadati; Pseudomonadota; Betaproteobacteria; Burkholderiales; Comamonadaceae. The record is from RNAcentral.